UGCAUUUGAAGCCCAUGAGGAUGAGAACCUCCGGGGGCGGGAGGUUCGACUCGAGCGAAGCGAGAGAACGUUGCGCCAGCAACGGCCCGCAGGGCGAGCCACGAAGUGGCGAGUAAUCCUCUAUCACCGACCA
This 133-nucleotide small RNA is filed under the name Escherichia coli. RNAcentral's name for it is "RtT sRNA". It matches the Rfam family "RtT RNA". Rfam says of the family: This family represents a bacterial cis-regulatory element known as RtT RNA. Lineage: Bacteria; Pseudomonadati; Pseudomonadota; Gammaproteobacteria; Enterobacterales; Enterobacteriaceae. RNAcentral also lists the same sequence under 1 other name. The record is from RNAcentral.